GUUCCCUCGAAAUAAUUAUUUCGUUCCCUCGAUUUAGGAUAUCGAGCGAACGAAUUAAGUAUUUCGUUCCCUCGAAAUAAUCAUAUUAGAAAUCGAAAUACAAUUUCGUGAUUAAAGUCUAAAUCUCUGGCCCAUCAAAGCCAGUGAGGAGAGACGGACAUGCAGCUGUUUUAUAAUAGAUCCAUGCAGCAGCAGCAGCAGCAGCAGCAGCACCGGGACCAGCUACAACAUCUUGGAGUGGAAGGGGCCGUCUAUGUGCUGGAGUUAACAGUGGCUGAGUCGCAACGCUCUGACAUCCACGUUGACAUUAUACAGCAAUCUUACAGACUACAAUCCACCAGAACAUCUGUUCCUUGGACUGGGCAAAAAUGUCAAUCACCG
Cololabis saira (Pacific saury) is the source of this 381-nucleotide long non-coding RNA. RefSeq lists it as uncharacterized. The record is from RefSeq and is a predicted model, not a curated record. Lineage: Eukaryota; Metazoa; Chordata; Actinopteri; Beloniformes; Belonidae. The transcript has 3 exons.